UGGAUAGCAAGUGUCAUGGCCGCUUUACUAACCUUCAAGUGCCGAUAAUUGCUUCCUUAUUGAGGGAUUGAAUUUGAAGCGUCAGGUCAGAAAUCUCCCGGAGAAGAGAUCGCGUCCGCGAGCCCGGCGCUGCUGCUACGAAGCCAAAGCUGCUCUUGACAAGGACUCCGGCGGUUCUUCCGGCAAGGACCUGUCAACGGAACCGCUGGUCAGAAAAGCCCGAUGUCGGUGCCAGAAAUCGUCUUGGAGCCGGAGAGGAGAUCGGGAGGGAGAGGAGAAGAGAGGAUUUGAUUAUAGGUCAACGACUCCAGAGGUGACUCGGAUUCAUUGUGUAUAUAGGCGCACAAACUUGGUGGCAAUUCACAUCCAAUCCAACAUUCAAUUCACUGCACAAAGCCAUGGGGUGCGGUUUUUCCGUAGGAGAUGGGAAGACAAAGGAAGGGAGAACAGAGGCUCAAGCUGCCCGUAAAACCAAGAAGCAGGCUCAGCGACCACGUGCCCACCGUCGCCGACAACCACGUUACGGGUAUCAAACUGGAAGCGACGGUGGCAUGAUCUUCAUGACGGGUGCUGCAGCUUCUGGGAUGUACGGGGGUGGUGGCGGUUGCGGCGGAGGAGGAGGUUGUGGUGGAGGCGGUGGUUGCGGUGGGGGAGGAGGUUGCGGGGGCGGUGGAUGUUGAUGCGUACAUGGAUAAUAACAUCUGCACCUUUUAAUUAAUGAGUUGGUAGUAUUCUAUAAUUGUUUUCAAUUUUUCCUUUUUUGGUGAGUGAAAAA
Molecule: long non-coding RNA, 775 nt
Organism: Neltuma alba
Lineage: Eukaryota; Viridiplantae; Streptophyta; Magnoliopsida; Fabales; Fabaceae
Exons: 3
Source: RefSeq, a predicted model, not a curated record